Long non-coding RNA from Danaus plexippus (monarch butterfly), 651 nucleotides. RefSeq lists it as uncharacterized. The transcript is spliced from 2 exons. The record is from RefSeq and is a predicted model, not a curated record. NCBI's taxonomy places the organism in Eukaryota, Metazoa, Arthropoda, Insecta, Lepidoptera, Nymphalidae.
GUACUACUUUUGUGUUAGAAUUGAAUUCUUUUAUUAAUCACGACGAACUGUGGCUCUGAUAACCCUGAGCGUCUCGGAAUAGCUGGAAACCCUAUCAGUUUAAUUUAAUUACAAGAGAGAGUACAUGCGAUGUGUUGAAAACAAGUGUAGUUGAAUUGUAAAGAUGGUUUCAGUAUAAUUCAGAUGUAACUACGAGCUAAAAAUCAAUAAUAAAGUCAUUCGGAUAUGUCCAAAGAGUAAUGUCUCAUAGCCUUGUUUACUGACGCGCGGAGAGUCAGCUAAGGUCAUUAUUGCAAGGAUGUAUAAUCAGGUUACCGAUAUAGGCAAACGGCAAAAACCCUUCUCGAAUUUUAAGGUCUUCCUAUUUUAACCAACUCAUUCAUCAUUUAGUCAAAAAAAGGACAAAGGAUUACCCUCAUAACUACCCUUUCGUUUCACUAUUUUGGAUUUAAGAAGACAAUUACCCGCUUUUCAAUACUAUUUAAAAAGUAAAAGCGAUGUCCAGUCAGUGACCGCAGCGCUCGAGGAAGGAAAUAAUUUAAGCGGAACUUGUUGUGACGUUGGCAUUGAUUCAAAAGUCCUAUGAGUAAUAAACGCAGUAUUAUUAUUUAAAUUAUAUUUUAUCUCCGUCUUUGCUGGGGUUAAAAUUUC